CGCGAACACGCUAUUGUUCGCCAGCGGACAGUUCACGAACAGUUCGGCGGACAGUUCGCGACAUCUCUAUUGGUAAGGAUACAAUAUAUGGGAGUCUAUAAAAGAUAACUAUAACAGUACAUAGUGUAACCUGAAAGGAUAACAAUAAAAAGCAAACAAAUGUAUGGUUGCACUCACAUGUGUAGAGUCGUAACAGGCUCUAUGUUAUCAGCUUCAAGGUGCCAAUAAGAGUAUACAAUACAGCAAACGUGUUUCAACAUGAAAGUCUUCUUCAGUUGCAUGAAAACUUUCAUGUUGAAGCGCGUUUGCUGUAUUAUAUUAAGGACUUUAUCGCGGUAGUGUAUAUUAUUGUUUUUACACACUGCUUUUCACUAAUAAACAUCUUGGAAAUUAUUGCAACCUGCCUGGUUGCCUGUGGACAACUGUCCAAGCCAGUAUUGGCACCUUGAAGCUAUUAUUGUUAUUUGGUGGACACUUUUCUUAUAUUAUUUAGUUGUUAUAUUUUUUUGUUUAUCGUGUUUAACCCCUUAAGGAUGGCGGGCAUUCUAUGCCAUCCUUUUUUAGGCGGUCCUAAGAUCCCCGCCGUCCUUCAUACUUACCGGGUCCCUGCUGAUCCCACGCCGGCGGUCACGAUGCUGGGGUGUGCCUGGGAGCACAGACAGACCCCCCUCUGCCCAAUCUGGCUCCCCC
Non-coding RNA from Pelobates cultripes (western spadefoot toad), 690 nucleotides. NCBI's taxonomy places the organism in Eukaryota, Metazoa, Chordata, Amphibia, Anura, Pelobatidae. The record is from the annotation of a GenBank genome assembly.